This 445-nucleotide ribosomal RNA is filed under the name uncultured bacterium. RNAcentral's name for it is "bacterial SSU rRNA". It matches the Rfam family "Bacterial small subunit ribosomal RNA", at positions 331 to 792 of the family's 1533-position model. The record is from RNAcentral.
CCAGACUCCUACGGGAGGCAGCAGUGGGGGAUAUUGCACAAUGGGGGAAACCCUGAUGCAGCGACGCCGCGUGUGGGAAGACGGUCUUCUGGAUUGUAAACCACUGUCCCCAGGGACGAAAAUGACGGUACCUGGGGAGGAAGCUCCGGCUAACUACGUGCCAGCAGCCGCGGUAAUACGUAGGGAGCAAGCGUUGUCCGGAAUUACUGGGUGUAAAGGGAGCGUAGACGGCGAAGAAAGUCUGAAGUGAAAGCCCGCGGCUUAACCGCGGAACUGCUUUGGAAACUUUUUUGCUGGAGUACCGGAGAGGUAAGCGGAAUUCCUAGUGUAGCGGUGAAAUGCGUAGAUAUUAGGAGGAACACCAGUGGCGAAGGCGGCUUACUGGACGGUAACUGACGUUGAGGCUCGAAAGCGUGGGGAGCAAACAGGAUUAGAUACCCGCGUA